CAGUAGCCGCGGUAAUACGAAGGGGGCUAGCGUUGUUCGGAAUUACUGGGCGUAAAGCGCACGUAGGCGGAUAUUUAAGUCAGGGGUGAAAUCCCAGAGCUCAACUCUGGAACUGCCUUUGAUACUGGGUAUCUUGAGUAUGGAAGAGGUUAGUGGAAUUGCGAGUGUAGAGGUGAAAUUCGUAGAUAUUCGCAGGAACACCAGUGGCGAAGGCGGCUAACUGGUCCAUAACUGACGCUGAGGUGCGAAAGCGUGGGGAGCAAACAGGAUUAGAUACCCGAGUAGUCCCUGUCUCUUAUAC
Molecule: ribosomal RNA, 301 nt
Filed under: uncultured bacterium
Lineage: Bacteria
Description: partial 16S ribosomal RNA
Rfam family: Bacterial small subunit ribosomal RNA
Source: RNAcentral